This 492-nucleotide ribosomal RNA is filed under the name uncultured bacterium. Its description in RNAcentral is "partial 16S ribosomal RNA". It matches the Rfam family "Bacterial small subunit ribosomal RNA", at positions 29 to 507 of the family's 1533-position model. The record is from RNAcentral.
AGUGAACGCUGGCGGUAGGCCUAACACAUGCAAGUCGAACGGCAGCACAGUAAGAGCUUGCUCUUACGGGUGGCGAGUGGCGGACGGGUGAGCAAUACAUCGGAAUCUACUUUUUCGUGGGGGAUAACGUAGGGAAACUUACGCUAAUACCGCAUACGACCUACGGGUGAAAGCAGGGGAUCUUCGGACCUUGCGCGAUUGAAUGAGCCGAUGUCGGAUUAGCUAGUUGGCGGGGUAAAGGCCCACCAAGGCGACGAUCCGUAGCUGGUCUGAGAGGAUGAUCAGCCACACUGGAACUGAGACACGGUCCAGACUCCUACGGGAGGCAGCAGUGGGGAAUAUUGGACAAUGGGCGCAAGCCUGAUCCAGCCAUACCGCGUGGGUGAAGAAGGCCUUCGGGUUGUAAAGCCCUUUUGUUGGGAAAGAAAAGCAGCAGGUUAAUACCCCGCUGUUCUGACGGUACUCAAAGAAUAAGCACCGGCUAACUUCGUG